GUAAUAUCAAAACCAACUCUAGAGAUUUAUAUGUAUGUGAUAAAAUAUCCAUGCUUAGUAGUAAAGUCUAUUUAGUGGGUAAUAGGCAAAGAAACUCAUUAAGGAGAGGAAAGCUCAGACCAUAUAUCUAUUUCAUUGUUAAAUAAUCAAUUCAUAAUUGGCUUGAACUCAAAAUUUAAGAAAAGGAGAUUCUAUAUUUGUUGGCUAAAAGUGAACAUGGUUUAUAGGGUUUCUUUGACAUGACCCAUAAACAUACAUUCUCUUUGAAGUUAGAAUUUUUCUAUCUUUAUACCCAUAUUGUUAGUUAAC
This 309-nucleotide unclassified non-coding RNA is filed under the name Hevea brasiliensis (rubber tree). The record is from RNAcentral. Lineage: Eukaryota; Viridiplantae; Streptophyta; Magnoliopsida; Malpighiales; Euphorbiaceae.